UUAUGAAUACUGGGCUAUAAACGA
This 24-nucleotide non-coding RNA is filed under the name Cricetulus griseus (Chinese hamster). The record is from RNAcentral. Lineage: Eukaryota; Metazoa; Chordata; Mammalia; Rodentia; Cricetidae.